RNAcentral lists this ribosomal RNA (396 nucleotides) under uncultured bacterium. RNAcentral describes it as "partial 16S ribosomal RNA". It matches the Rfam family "Bacterial small subunit ribosomal RNA", at positions 523 to 918 of the family's 1533-position model. The record is from RNAcentral.
AUACGUAGGUGGCGAGCGUUGUCCGGAUUUACUGGGUGUAAAGGGCGUGCAGCCGGGUCGGCAAGUCAGAUGUGAAAUGCAUGGGCUUAACCCAUGAACUGCAUUUGAAACUGUCGAUCUUGUGUGCCGGAGAGGUAAUCGGAAUUCCUUGUGUAGCGGUGAAAUGCGUAGAUAUAAGGAAGAACACCAGUGGCGAAGGCGGAUUACUGGACGGUAACUGACGGUGAGGCGCGAAAGCGUGGGGAGCAAACAGGAUUAGAGACCCUGGUAGUCCACGCUGUAAACGAUCGAUACUAGGUGUGCGGGGACUGACCCCCCGCGUGCCGCAGUUAACACAAUAAGUAUCGCACCUGGGGAGUACGAUCGCAAGGUUGAAACUCAAAGGAAUUGACGGGG